AUCUUUCUAGUAUUAACCAAAUACGUGUGACUUCCAAUUACCUAAUCCUGGUUAAAGCCCAGGGAAAGAUA
RNAcentral lists this transfer RNA (71 nucleotides) under Gymnothorax hepaticus (liver-colored moray eel). RNAcentral describes it as "tRNA-Gly". The record is from RNAcentral. Lineage: Eukaryota; Metazoa; Chordata; Actinopteri; Anguilliformes; Muraenidae.